UCACAACAGCGGACUUCGGUCCUUGCUGCACCCUUGUCUUUUGCGCACCGUAUUGUUUCCUCGGCGGGCUUGCCUGCCGGUUGGACAUUAUCAAAACCUUUUUGUAGUUGCAAUCAGCGUCAGAAAAACAAUAAUUAUUA
RNAcentral lists this unclassified non-coding RNA (140 nucleotides) under soil metagenome. RNAcentral's name for it is "partial internal transcribed spacer 1". The record is from RNAcentral.